CCCCAGUCGAGCGAACUGAUUAGAAGCUUGCUUCUAUGACGUUAGCGGCGGACGGGUGAGUAACACGUGGGCAACCUGCCUGUAAGACUGGGAUAACUUCGGGAAACCGAAGCUAAUACCGGAUAGGAUCUUCUCCUUCAUGGGAGAUGAUUGAAAGAUGGUUUCGGCUAUCACUUACAGAUGGGCCCGCGGUGCAUUAGCUAGUUGGUGAGGUAACGGCUCACCAAGGCAACGAUGCAUAGCCGACCUGAGAGGGUGAUCGGCCACACUGGGACUGAGACACGGCCCAGACUCCUACGGGAGGCAGCAGUAGGGAAUCUUCCGCAAUGGACGAAAGUCUGACGGAGCAACGCCGCGUGAGUGAUGAAGGCUUUCGGGUCGUAAAACUCUGUUGUUAGGGAAGAACAAGUACAAGAGUAACUGCUUGUACCUUGACGGUACCUAACCAGAAAGCCACGGCUAACUACGUGCCAGCAGCCGCGGAAUACGAGGGC
RNAcentral lists this ribosomal RNA (494 nucleotides) under Bacillus sp. enrichment culture clone A2i. RNAcentral describes it as "bacterial SSU rRNA". It matches the Rfam family "Bacterial small subunit ribosomal RNA", at positions 56 to 532 of the family's 1533-position model. Lineage: Bacteria; Bacillati; Bacillota; Bacilli; Caryophanales; Bacillaceae. The record is from RNAcentral.